Molecule: ribosomal RNA, 503 nt
Filed under: uncultured Bacteroidota bacterium
Lineage: Bacteria; Pseudomonadati; Bacteroidota
Description: bacterial SSU rRNA
Rfam family: Bacterial small subunit ribosomal RNA
Source: RNAcentral
UGGGUGCGUAAACUGCUUUUGUACGAGAAGAACACCCUACUCGGUAGGGUCUGACGGUAUCGUACGAAUAAGCGACCGGCUAACGUCCGUGCCAGCAGCCGCGGUAAUACUGGAGGGUCCAAGCGUUGUCCGGAAUCACUGGGUGUAAAGGGUGCGCAGGCGGGCGUGUAAGUCAGGGGUGAAAGCCAUCGGCCUAACCGGUGAAUUGCCUUUGAUACUGCACGUCUUGAGUCCUGGAUAGGCUAUCGGAAUUCGUGGUGCCCCGGUGAAAUGCGUAGAUAUCACGAGUAACGCCGGAAGCGUAAGCCGAUAGCUGGACACGUACUGACGCUCAGGCACGAAAGCGUGGUGGAGCGAACAGGAUUAGAUACCCUGGUAGUCCACGCCGUAAACGAUGAAUGCUCGAUGCUGCGCCGCUUUAGGCGCAGYUGUCCAAGCUAACGCGUUAAGCAUUCCACCUGGGGAGUACGAUCGCAAGGUUGAAACUCAAUGAAUUGACGGGA